UACGAAGGGUGCAAGCGUUGCUCGGAAUUAUUGGGCGUAAAGGGUAGGUAGGUGGUGAUAUUUGUCUGAGGUGAAAUCCCCGAGCUUAACUUGGGAAGUGCCUUGGAAACGGUAUCACUAGAGUACUGGAGAGGUUCGUAGAAUUCUUGGUGUAGCGGUGAAAUGCGUAGAGAUCAAGAGGAAUAUCAGAGGCGAAGGCGACGAACUGGACAGUAACUGACACUCAACUACGAAAGCGUGGGUAGCAAACAGG
This 253-nucleotide ribosomal RNA is filed under the name uncultured bacterium. RNAcentral describes it as "partial 16S ribosomal RNA". It matches the Rfam family "Bacterial small subunit ribosomal RNA", at positions 524 to 776 of the family's 1533-position model. The record is from RNAcentral.